GUGGGUAAUUUUCCGCAAUGGGCGAAAGCCUGACGGAGCAAUGCCGCGUGGAGGUGGAAGGCCUACGGGUCGUCAACUUCUUUUCUCGGAGAAGAAACAAUGACGGUAUCUGAGGAAUAAGCAUCGGCUAACUCUGUGCUAG
RNAcentral lists this ribosomal RNA (142 nucleotides) under uncultured bacterium. RNAcentral describes it as "partial 16S rRNA". It matches the Rfam family "Bacterial small subunit ribosomal RNA", at positions 354 to 511 of the family's 1533-position model. The record is from RNAcentral.